UUGUCAACAGAUAUUAUUAAAGGCUUAAAGCCCAAACAAGGUAAACCGAAGGUCCAUUACAACCCAAUUCAUAAACUGAUUUCAACAAAAGAUGAUAACUACAAUAUUAAAGAAAAACGUGGAAACACGUGUUCUCACAGGCGGUCUAUCUUCCAAUCAUCUCUCCGGUAAACUUCUCGGAUGAGACGCAUAAGCUUUACCGCUUCCUUCGAAUCUACCUUGAACUCUUCAUACAAAGCUCGCCGGUUCUUGUAGUUUGAUCUCCGAGUGGUCACUGAUCCUUAAUUCCUGGGAAAACUGAUGGAUCUAAAGACAGAUCAUCUGUCAGGACGUUUCAAAGAAACCCUGACUUUACUUAAUCUGCUUCAAAAUCAACCAGACAAAUCCAACACCUUCGAUUCUUCAACCAAAAGGGAGCAUCUUCCUAUCUUUCUCUUUAGGAAGAAACGAUUACGCCCCCUCGGAUGAGAUCUGGCACUCGGCUAGUACCAGAAGCCAAACACAAGUUCCGGGAUUUAUGGUUAGAUCUUGCAUGAAGGGAAAGUGUCCAAGCAAAUCAGAGAAAGAAAUAGAUUCGUGAACAGUUCUGAUUUGGUUGAACAAAAACACACCAAAAGAUCGCCUAGCGAAAGUGAAAAUCCGCAACCGGAACAGAAGUUCGAUCAACAGAUCGAAUAUUUACAUACAAAAAACAAAAAGAUAAAAUAUGGUAACCGGCAGCGAGAGCCACCGGCUACCGAUCGACGAUGGUGAUUGAAGUUUUCUAGUGAGAAGUUGGAGAGAGUAGAAAGAGAAAAA
This 798-nucleotide long non-coding RNA is filed under the name Brassica napus (rape). Its description in RNAcentral is "long non-coding RNA (BNAP_LNC018361)". The record is from RNAcentral. Lineage: Eukaryota; Viridiplantae; Streptophyta; Magnoliopsida; Brassicales; Brassicaceae.